Molecule: ribosomal RNA, 1109 nt
Filed under: Hysterangium sp. TH8901
Lineage: Eukaryota; Fungi; Basidiomycota; Agaricomycetes; Hysterangiales; Hysterangiaceae
Description: eukaryotic LSU rRNA
Rfam family: Eukaryotic large subunit ribosomal RNA (bases 481-1109)
Source: RNAcentral
CACUUAAGCCUGUCAUUGAAAAAGCAUGUCCAGUCGGGCUCUACGGAGCAGCGAAAGUCUUUAAUACAACUUUCAACAACGGAUCUCUUGGCUUUCGCAUCGAUGAAGAACGCCGCGAAAGCGCGAAACGUAAUGUGAAUUGCAGAAUUCAGUGAAUCAUCGAAUCUUUGAACGCACCUUGCGCUCCUUGGUAUUCCGAGGAGCAUGCCCGUUUGAGUGUCGUGAAACCCUCUCGAUCCCAGACUCUCUCCCCCUCCCCUGUGGGGUGUGGGGGGGCGUGUGCGGGGUCGGAUCUGGGAUGCUGCCGGGUCAUCUUGAGGAGACCGGCUCGUCUCGAAAUGCAUUAGCCGUUUCCAACCUUUGGCGUUUGGGUUCCUGCCAACGACGGUGUGAUAAGUUGAAAACGUGUCACCUGCGUUCGGUGCCGGGACCGCUCGGGGGGAAAUGGCUCACAAUUGUCCUUUGGACGAGAUUGCGAUCUGACCUCAAAUCGGGUAGGACUACCCGCUGAACUUAAGCAUAUCAAUAAGCGGAGGAAAAGAAACUAACAAGGAUUCCCCUAGUAACGGCGAGUGAAGCGGGAAGAGCUCAAAUUUGUAAUCUGGCGGCCUCCGGUCGUCCGAGUUGUAGUCUGGAGAAGUGCUUUCCGUGCCGGACCGUGUACAAGUCCCUUGGAACGGGGUGUCGUAGAGGGUGAGAAUCCCGUCUCUGACACGGACUGCCGGUGCCCUGUGAUGCGCUCUCGAAGAGUCGAGUUGUUUGGGAAUGCAGCUCAAAACGGGUGGUAAAUUCCAUCUAAAGCUAAAUAUUGGCGAAAGACCGAUAGCGAACAAGUACCGUGAGGGAAAGAUGAAAAGCACUUUGGAAAGAGAGUUAAACAGUACGUGAAAUUGUUGAAAGGGAAACGCUUGGAGUCAGUCGCGUCCGUCGAGGCUCAGCCGGGUACCAGACCCGGUGCACUCCUCGGCGCAGACGGGCCAGCAUCGAUUUCGACUGUCGGAGAAAGGCCCUGGGAAUGUGGCACCCUUCCGGGGGUGUGUUAUAGCCCUCUGCCGUAUGCGACGGUCGGGAUCGAGGACCGCAGCGUGCCCCUCGCAGGGCCGGGGUUC